This 1432-nucleotide ribosomal RNA is filed under the name metagenome. RNAcentral describes it as "bacterial SSU rRNA". It matches the Rfam family "Bacterial small subunit ribosomal RNA". The record is from RNAcentral.
GCUCAGAUUGAACGCUGGCGGCAGGCCUAACACAUGCAAGUCGAACGGUAACAGGAAGAAGCUUGCUUCUUUGCUGACGAGUGGUGGACGGGUGAGUAAUGUCUGGGAAACUGCCUGAUGGAGGGGGAUAACUACUGGAAACGGUAGCUAAUACCGCAUAACGUCGCAAGACCAAAGAGGGGGACCUUCGGGCCUCUUGCCAUCGGAUAUGCCCAGAUGGGAUUAGCUAGUAGGUGGGGUAACGGCUCACCUAGGCGACGAUCCCUAGCUGGUCUGAGAGGAUGACCAGCCACACUGGAACUGAGACACGGUCCAGACUCCUACGGGAGGCAGCAGUGGGGAAUAUUGCACAAUGGGCGCAAGCCUGAUGCAGCCAUGCCGCGUGUAUGAAGAAGGCCUUCGGGUUGUAAAGUACUUUCAGCGGGGAGGAAGGGAGUAAAGUUAAUACCUUUGCUCAUUGACGUUACCCGCAGAAGAAGCACCGGCUAACUCCGUGCCAGCAGCCGCGGUAAUACGGAGGGUGCAAGCGUUAAUCGGAAUUACUGGGCGUAAAGCGCACGCAGGCGGUUUGUUAAGUCAGAUGUGAAAUCCCCGGGCUCAACCUGGGAACUGCAUCUGAUACUGGCAAGCUUGAGUCUCGUAGAGGGGGGUAGAAUUCCAGGUGUAGCGGUGAAAUGCGUAGAGAUCUGGAGGAAUACCGGUGGCGAAGGCGGCCCCCUGGACGAAGACUGACGCUCAGGUGCGAAAGCGUGGGGAGCAAACAGGAUUAGAUACCCUGGUAGUCCACGCCGUAAACGAUGUCGACUUGGAGGUUGUGCCCUUGAGGCGUGGCUUCCGGAGCUAACGCGUUAAGUCGACCGCCUGGGGAGUACGGCCGCAAGGUUAAAACUCAAAUGAAUUGACGGGGGCCCGCACAAGCGGUGGAGCAUGUGGUUUAAUUCGAUGCAACGCGAAGAACCUUACCUGGUCUUGACAUCCACGGAAGUUUUCAGAGAUGAGAAUGUGCCUUCGGGAACCGUGAGACAGGUGCUGCAUGGCUGUCGUCAGCUCGUGUUGUGAAAUGUUGGGUUAAGUCCCGCAACGAGCGCAACCCUUAUCCUUUGUUGCCAGCGGUCCGGCCGGGAACUCAAAGGAGACUGCCAGUGAUAAACUGGAGGAAGGUGGGGAUGACGUCAAGUCAUCAUGGCCCUUACGACCAGGGCUACACACGUGCUACAAUGGCGCAUACAAAGAGAAGCGACCUCGCGAGAGCAAGCGGACCUCAUAAAGUGCGUCGUAGUCCGGAUUGGAGUCUGCAACUCGACUCCAUGAAGUCGGAAUCGCUAGUAAUCGUGGAUCAGAAUGCCACGGUGAAUACGUUCCCGGGCCUUGUACACACCGCCCGUCACACCAUGGGAGUGGGUUGCAAAAGAAGUAGGUAGCUUAACCUUCG